ACCAAGUGUUGUUACUUUGUAGCCGAUCCAUUAUCCAAGAUGGCCACCAGCGGGGGACUUAGUUUAACAUAGGACCCUACGGGAAAUACAUACAAAUGUUUUCUUUAAGUGAAACACUAAUUGGAAUGAAACAAAACAUAGCAUGAAUGUUCUUAAUGAGAUACUGACCAAGUGUUGUUACUUUGUCGCCAUUGCAACAUCCAAGAUGGGCACGAGUGGGGGACUCAGUUUAACAUAGGACCCUAUGGGAAAUGCAUACAAAAGUCUUCUUCUAAAGAACCACUGAAUUGAAUGAAAUCAAACAUAGCAUGAAUGUUCCUUUCCUUAUGAGGUGCUGGCCAAGUGUUGAGUGUUGUUACUUUUAGCCAAAUUUCAUAUUUUUUUAUAUGAUUUCAAAAACCCAAGUAGAAUCAGGUGAGCGAUACGUAUACAGGCUCUUGAGAGCCUCUAGUUUUAAUUAUGACUGUAAAUUCAGAAAUUAAUGUAUAUUCAUUCACCAUAAUUGUACUUUAAAAGUACACUUUAAUCUAGAUUUGUGUAUAUUUUUGUCCUACAGUGGAAUAUUAUUGUGGAACAUUUACUGAUCAAUAUUUUUGUUGUAGAUAUGUUUGAGGGGGGUCUGAUUUGGAAAUUCUGGGCUUAAAAAACAUGGAUUUCAGAGGUCCUGAAUUUAAAAAAAGAUUUAAUCCAGACAUCCUGAAAUUCGAAAAAAGAAAUCCUGGAUUCCGACAGGGACCGUCAAUCCUGAAAUCACAAUUUUAAAAACACCUGAUCGCAAAGUCUCUUCAAAGGUCCUAUCCCCUUUCAUGUUUUAUUGACUAAUGAUUUGCCAUGUUUUAAGUAUACACA
This 849-nucleotide long non-coding RNA is filed under the name Mytilus galloprovincialis (Mediterranean mussel). The record is from RNAcentral. Lineage: Eukaryota; Metazoa; Mollusca; Bivalvia; Mytilida; Mytilidae.